Long non-coding RNA from Salmo salar (Atlantic salmon), 1404 nucleotides. RefSeq lists it as uncharacterized. NCBI's taxonomy places the organism in Eukaryota, Metazoa, Chordata, Actinopteri, Salmoniformes, Salmonidae. The record is from RefSeq and is a predicted model, not a curated record.
GGCUCGGUUUGACCCUAUAGUUUGAUUUUGAACCAGAAAAUGAAAGAUAGCUCAGGGAGUAUAUCAAAACCUUUCUUGCCAUUUGGUACCUACUGAACAAGACACUGGUUUGCAAUGCCCCAACUGUGGUAAUCGUUUUCGAUAGGUCUUUCUUGGCUGCAUAAAGCAUCCGACACUGCUGAGGGAGCGUCUUCAUUCACUGAAAUGUUCUUAAUUUUUCCAUCAAACAUGUAUGAACCUGUUCACUGGAACAACAGCUUUGACAUGUGCUCAUACCUCAUGUUAAACUACUGUCCUACAGGCAAUUAUCAAAGAAAGAAUGAUAGAUGAUAAUUCACAACCAUACAAUAUAUUACAUAUAUCUAUUUUAUAGCCAGAUUAGAUUCCGUAAAAGAUCUGACAGGUCUACAUGGGUUUCUGAGCUCUCACUGAAACACCAUUAUUACCCAAGCGUCCCUGUUGUGAAAUCUGUAGAGUCAGCACAUUGUGUGUUGACAUGCAUAGACAGUGAACUGUUGACAGACAUCCCCGCACGGCUAUGCUAACACACAGUAUCGAUACGAUAUGCUUUCUCAUGAUCUUAGCUCUACCCACAUUUGUCUCCAUAUGUCUACUCCAAGGUUUUUGUUUUGAAAUUUGAGAGCAUUGAAAACCAAGUGCCCAGACCCACUCCACAGAAAGGCUGUAUAAAGAUGAGGUUUUCUGUCCUCAGAUAAAGAGAGCUGUGAAAGAAUGUCUACAGAUGACGAGGUCCCAAUGAAGAGCAGUGGUUCUCAGUCCUGUUCCUGGGGACUCAAAGGGAUACCUUGUAACUGGAGAUUCUUUCAAAACGAUUGCCUACAGUUACAGGGUGACCAGGGCCAUCUGGGAGUGCCUCCUGGAGGAAUUCAGGCGUGUGAAGGCUACCUGUGUCCUGCAUAACUUCAUGAGGAUGGACACAAGGACCAGGAGGGGAUCUGCAGCUUGCCUCCGUGUGCCAGAGGAGAAGUCUGGUGCUCUGCAGGAUGUUUCAAGGAUGGGGUCCAACAAUGCAGCAAGAGAGGCAAUCCUUGUGCAGGAGAUCUUCACCUCCUACUUCUUCGAAGAAAAUAUUAUGAGAUUCACGCCAUUGGUUUUGUUGGUAGUCCUACAUUAUGCUCAAAUAGCCACAAUAGUCUUUUGGCUACUGUCUAAAACUGUAAGGGUACAACGUCAGCGUUCAAUGUAAACGCGUGCCGGAAGUUGCACAAAAUUAUCAUAAUGUUCAAGUUUCUACUCACAAGACCUAAAAUUUGCUCAGUGCCCCACAAAAAUUAGAGGGAACAUUGCUCCAUUUAGGUGAAACAGCCUGAUACAAUAUGAGAACAUGUCCCUCUAACAUUUUUGACAUGCGUUUUUCUGGAUUUUUGUUGUUGUUAUUUUGUC